This 378-nucleotide ribosomal RNA is filed under the name uncultured bacterium. RNAcentral's name for it is "bacterial SSU rRNA". It matches the Rfam family "Bacterial small subunit ribosomal RNA", at positions 521 to 896 of the family's 1533-position model. The record is from RNAcentral.
UAAUACGGGGGGAGCAAGCGUUGUUCGGAUUUACUGGGCGUAAAGGGCGCGUAGGCGGCCACCGCAAGUCGGUUGUGAAAUCUCCGGGCUUAACCCGGAAAGGUCAACCGAUACUGCGGGGCUAGAGUGCAGAAGGGGCAACUGGAAUUCUCGGUGUAGCGGUGAAAUGCGUAGAUAUCGAGAGGAACACCUGCGGCGAAGGCGGGUUGCUGGGCUGACACUGACGCUGAGGCGCGAAAGCUAGGGGAGCGAACGGGAUUAGAUACCCCGGUAGUCCUGGCCCUAAACGAUGAAUGCUUGGUGUGGCGGGUAUCGAUCCCUGCCGUGCCGAAGCUAACGCAUUAAGCAUUCCGCCUGGGGAGUACGGUCGCAAGGCUG